Long non-coding RNA from Papio anubis (olive baboon), 2211 nucleotides. The record is from Ensembl. NCBI's taxonomy places the organism in Eukaryota, Metazoa, Chordata, Mammalia, Primates, Cercopithecidae.
CGGCUAAUAUUUUCUGAAAUCCAAAAUACAAUAAAACCAAAGAUAAAAAGGCUAUGUUAUCUCCUGAAAUGACUUGUCUGUAGCAAUACUUCAGUAAAAAUGUUUUAAAUAAACUUUUCCUAUUUUCACAGAAAGAGUAGGAGAGAAAAUGAGGAUACUGGAAAAGACACCAGUAGAGGCAAGAAGGCAUAGAAGGUUAUGAGUCUUUGGAGUGUCAGUCUUUGCACUGCUGCCUUCAGGAUCAUUUCUGGAGGACUUUCUCCGUGCUGUGCACCUAGGGUUGAGAGCAGGGGUGAAACAGGACCAACAACCCUGCUUUCUUGCUGGCUGUCACCUGAGGACCAUUCCCAGCUUUUAAAAUUAAUCUGCAAAAUUUAUAUAUAUAUAUCGGGUUUCUUGACUCAUGAUUCCAUUUCUUCAUCUUCAAAGCCAGAGAAUACGGGUGGAGUCCCUCUCAAGGUUGAAAAGUCCCACCAUCUGCCUUAUACAAGCUGGAGAACCAGGAAAACCGGGGAUGUAAAUCCAAAUUUCAGUUUAAAUUGAGGAGCAGAAGCGUCAACGGUGUAAGUUCCAGUUCAACGACAGAAGAAGACCUUUGUCUUAGCUCAAGAAGCCAGGUAAAGACAGAAAAUUCAACCUUCUUCCACCUUUUUGUUCUAUUCAAGUCCUCAAUGCAUUGGCUGAUGCUCACCCAGUGCAAUCUGCCUUACUCAUUCACAAGUUCAAGUGCUGCUCUCUUCCAUGAACACCCUCACAGACACAUCCAGAAAUAAUGUGGUAUAACCAGGUCUCUAGGAAUUCUAUGGCCCAGUAAAGGUGACAAAUAAAGUUCACCAUCAUAGCUAGGAACACCUAAAAGUAGAUGACUGUAGUAUGAUGUUCUUGCUCAGGCAUGAUGCAGAAUAAUGGUGAAAGAAAAUCUUCCAAUGGGAAGAACUCACAAGAGUACAUCUAGUUGUUUAGUUUGCUUGGAAAAGAGGUGGAUAAAUGUCAGAUUAAUGCUGAUUUAUGAGCAAUGACUAAUUAUUUGGCUGGAUGGUGAAGGACUUAGAAGGAAAAAUAUUGGAAAAUUGGUUACCAAGAGGCCUGGGAGGAUGUCAAAGACUUCACAAAAUGGACACAAAAGCAAAAGGGUAUUUUCAUCUUUUGUAAAUGUCCGCCAAAUGGCAACUACUACAGAUCAGGCUCUUGCUAAUCAUACGGAAACGAUGGCCCUUUAUACAGAAGGUCAGCAGACCUUCCUGCCCAGCCAUGCUAAUCAUUGCUGAAAGGGCUGAUGAACCAAGUGACUGCAGAAGUAGCUAUGGAAGCAGGCUUGAACUCAACAGUGUGGAUUAUGUGCUAUAGCUAUUGGUGAAUUCCCAACACGUCAACAACAUAAAGUGACACUGAGCCACCAAUAUGAUAAUGUUUCCCAAGUGAACAAGCCAGCACCUGGUGACAAUUUGAUUGUAUUGGACCACCCAUCACAGAAGAGGAAACAAUUUACUCUUCUUGGGAUAAAGGAUUAUUCUGGAAAUGGAUUUGUCUUCAUUGCCAACAGUGAUCCUGCCAAAACACCAUUCAUGAUUUCGGAGAUUGCAUUACUCACUCUCAGAAAAUUUUCCACUGCAUUUCUUCUGAACAAGGGAAUUAUUUUAAAGCAAAUGAACUGUAACAAUAGGUCUUUGCCAAUGGAAUUCAUAGUUCCUACCACGUACCCCGGCCCUGCCUAAUUGAACAGUGGAAUGCACUACUGGCCUGGUAGAGUCGAGGAAGGGUUCAGAAGACACUUAGAACACCUUUCAGGUAUCAGGUUGUAUCCUAUAUGCAGAAGUUAAGUUCCAGACCUUAUAUACCAAAGACGCUUCUAUUUCUCCCAUAGCUACACUUCAUGGAUCCAAGAUCUAAGGAAUGGAAAUAGAAGCUUUUCUUUUAUUGCUAUACCUAAUGAACUACAACCGCGGCCUCGAAACAGUUUAGAAGUCUUACCUGACUAAGGAGAAAUGUUCUUACUAGGGAUAUGACAGGGACAAUGUCAGAGGGGAGAUAAGAACUAUAUUUCUCAGAAUAUGUUAUCCUUAAUGUUAGAGUUUGCCAACAAGAAGAAAUUGCAUGAGACUCUAAAGGCAGUGAAAAGCCAAAUCCACAGUUUUCUGGAGGUAAUUGUACCCAGAUAAGGAUAUUUACUGAUUACAAGUUCUUUCAUUACCCGUUUUACUCAUUUUUGUC